GUGAAUCAUCAAAUUUUUGAACGCAAAUUGCACUCUCUUCGGAGAGUAUGCCUGUUUGAGGGUCAGUAUUAAUAAAAGUCGGUGUGUUGCUUCUUUGUGACGCUCCGGAGUUUGGGUCAUCUUAAUAUCCUUUAGGUUUUAAGAGGCUUAAAAUUGACUUUUUUUCGCAUUUUUGGUUGAACAUAAUUUUUUUUUUUAUUUGUUUGUUUUUAUUCUCAAAAUUCUAAUAGAAUCC
This 235-nucleotide unclassified non-coding RNA is filed under the name Rhizophagus sp. (in: glomeromycetes). Its description in RNAcentral is "partial contains 5.8S ribosomal RNA and internal transcribed spacer 2". The stretch from base 1 to 65 matches the Rfam family "5.8S ribosomal RNA", at positions 84 to 154 of the family's 154-position model. Lineage: Eukaryota; Fungi; Glomeromycota; Glomeromycetes; Glomerales; Glomeraceae. The record is from RNAcentral.